This 597-nucleotide ribosomal RNA is filed under the name Triticum aestivum (bread wheat). RNAcentral describes it as "partial small subunit ribosomal RNA". The record is from RNAcentral. Lineage: Eukaryota; Viridiplantae; Streptophyta; Magnoliopsida; Poales; Poaceae.
AUGCACGUAGGAUCCGAUAAUGACAUAUUGGAUGAUGAUGAGGAAGCGAGCAAGUCUACCGAUAAACUUAAUGAUAUUGAUCCAUUUGACACUGUCUACUCAAACAUUCCAGGCAACACUCACGUCCUGAAACUUGACGAAAAUUGCAAACACUGUAGGGCCAGGAAGUUUGUGUCUGAGACUGACGGAUUCUGCUGCCGCAAUGGACAGAUCCAGCUUAAGCAACCGGAACCAAUCCCAGAGCUUAUGAGGCUAUUGUCCAGCAUGGACGAAGAUUUGAGACAUUUUCGGGAGAACAUAAGGUUCUUCAACGGGCAUUUCGCAUUCACAACCCUUGGCGUCAGCCUUGAUGAAAACUACACAAACAUGAGGUCUGGGGUGUACACAUUCCGAGCUCACGGCACCAUCUACCACAAUGUCCAUUCGUCCGGGCCUAUCUCACGUCCAGAACAUCUGCAGUUGUACUUCUAUGACGACGACCCAAACUUAGAUCAUCGUAAGGCUGCCACCAAGCAAUUAGACCAGGAUGUCGUGAAGAGGUUAGUAGACAUACUGAAAGAAAACCCAUACCACUACAAGAAAUAUGUCAACUUAUGA